Oryctolagus cuniculus (rabbit) is the source of this 71-nucleotide small nucleolar RNA. The record is from Ensembl. Lineage: Eukaryota; Metazoa; Chordata; Mammalia; Lagomorpha; Leporidae.
UGACCUGAUUAUAUUAGUAAUAGGAAGUGCAAUAAGAAGCAAUAACUGAUGAUGUUUAUGCCCAUCUGACU